UUUGAGGCAUCAUGUACCUCUGAGGGGGCAUAGAGUCCCUCUGGUCCCUCUGUGUGCACUUCAUUCUUCAGGGGAGAAAAUAUGGUAAAGAAUUUGCCAGGUGCUUUGCUUUUCAUGCCCUAAUUUUUGCUUAAGAUGGUCUCCCAUCCAAGAGCCAGCCAAUUUCAGGUCAUAAGUUUCCAAGCUGUGGGGGGGUUAUCAGUUCUGAAUGCUAUCUCACCACUUUGAAAAUUGAAUUUCAGAUGCCUUAAACAGCAYUGGCAGAGGGAAAUGAAGCUGUUCUUUUGGAAAAUGGAGUGACUCACAUCAAAACAAGCUCACAUUGACKGAUGUUCCUGGACCAAAGACCAUCCUGGAAGCAAAGCUCAGCUCUGGAUUUGGGUCAAGUUCAUCUCCAGUAACGUGGGCCGAGCUGGUGCAGUAUGGAAGAGGUUCCAUGUGCCUGGCAGGAGAUCCUUGAAGUCAUCCAUCAGAAGAGCAGAUUCCUAAGCAGUUGUUCAAAAGUUCUCUCACUGGAUUUACAWGCCUGACCCCAACUGAUCUUGCAAUUGCAGGAGGACCCCAUUGUUUUUAGUUCUCUUUCAAAAAUCUCUGUUUUCUCUACAUCCAAUUUUAACUUCAAGCAAGAGAGAAGCUUGAAAAAUGAAAUAUUAUUUGUGCUGAGUCUUCUUCAAUAAUUGGUGCAAAUAGGUGAGAAAUCCUAUCAAAAUAUUAUUCAAUUAAUUUUUCAAAUACCAGAGAUAAUUUCAAAUAAUGUAUUUCAGACAGGGAACAUGCUGUCUUCUCUUCCCACUCCACCCAAUUAAAAAAACAGUUCUGCUACAGAUUUUUCACCUCAAAUGCUUAAGCUGAGGGAGACUAACUAUCCCAAAYACAGAUCCAUGCUUUG
Malurus melanocephalus (red-backed fairy wren) is the source of this 889-nucleotide long non-coding RNA. RefSeq lists it as uncharacterized. NCBI's taxonomy places the organism in Eukaryota, Metazoa, Chordata, Aves, Passeriformes, Maluridae. The transcript is spliced from 3 exons. The record is from RefSeq and is a predicted model, not a curated record.